AUUGAACGCUGGCGGCAGGCCUAACACAUGCAAGUCGAGCGGAUGAAGGGAGCUUGCUCCUGGAUUCAGCGGCGGACGGGUGAGUAAUGCCUAGGAAUCUGCCUGGUAGUGGGGGAUAACGUCCGGAAACGGGCGCUAAUACCGCAUACGUCCUGAGGGAGAAAGUGGGGGAUCUUCGGACCUCACGCUAUCAGAUGAGCCUAGGUCGGAUUAGCUAGUUGGUGGGGUAAAGGCCUACCAAGGCGACGAUCCGUAACUGGUCUGAGAGGAUGAUCAGUCACCCUGGAAGUGAGACACGGUCCAGACUCCUAAGGGAGGCAGCAGUGGGGAAUAUUAGACAAUGGGCGAAAGCCUGAUCCAGCCAUGCCGCGUGUGUGAAGAAGGUCUUCGGAUUGUAAAGCACUUUAAGUUGGGAGGAAGGGCAGUAAGUUAAUACCUUGCUGUUUUGACGUUACCAACAGAAUAAGCACCGGCUAACUUCGUG
RNAcentral lists this ribosomal RNA (484 nucleotides) under uncultured bacterium. Its description in RNAcentral is "partial 16S ribosomal RNA". It matches the Rfam family "Bacterial small subunit ribosomal RNA", at positions 30 to 507 of the family's 1533-position model. The record is from RNAcentral.